ACUCAAAUGAAUAGACGGGGGCCCGCACAAGCAGCGGAGCGUGUGGUUUAAUUCGAGGCUACACGAAGCACCUUACCUGGACUUGACAUGCACGCCAACGAGGGUGAAAGCCUGAGGGCCGCAAGGGGCGUGCACCGGUGCUGCAUGGCUGUCGUCAGCUCGUGCCGUGAGGUGUUAGGUUAAGUCCUGUAACGAGCGCAACCCCCAGGAGCAGUUACACGUUGUCUGCUCCGACUGCCCGCGCCAAGCGGGAGGAAGGUGGGGAUGAUGUCAAGUCAGCAUGGCCUGUAUGUCCAGGGCUACACACACGCUACAAUGGUCGGUACAAUGGGUCGCCAAGCCGCAAGGCGGAGCCAAUCCAGACAAAGCCGAUCUCAGUUCGGAUUGUGGGCUGCAACCCGCCCACAUGAAGUCGGAGUUGCUAGUAACCGCGCGUCAGCCAUAGUGCGGUGAAUACGUUCCCGGGCCUUGUACACACCGCCCGU
Molecule: ribosomal RNA, 485 nt
Filed under: uncultured bacterium
Lineage: Bacteria
Description: partial 16S ribosomal RNA
Rfam family: Bacterial small subunit ribosomal RNA
Source: RNAcentral